Molecule: RNA transcript, 1506 nt
Organism: Folsomia candida
Lineage: Eukaryota; Metazoa; Arthropoda; Collembola; Entomobryomorpha; Isotomidae
Gene name: small cysteine and glycine repeat-containing protein 2
Exons: 3
Source: RefSeq, a predicted model, not a curated record
UAAAAACUUGUGAACUUGUAAUUUGCAAAUGUGUGAGAAAUGCGAGAUUUAAAUUGGAUUGCUUGCGCAUUUUCCCAGUGUGUCAGGUGUAAUUUUACUAAAAUUUAACGUGUGUGAGAAUAUGAAAGCAAAUUGGGCAAUAAAUAUUUCGCUUGGCAUUUACCUACUUACCUUUGCUUUUUUUAGAGUGACACAAAUUUUUCAAGAUUUGGAAUACUUGUUUGUUUGAGAGUUAAAUGUUGCAUGCUGUGUGACCAUUAAUUGUGCAUAAAUUGCAGAUAUUAAUAUGCAAGAAGACAAAUUCUAAUGCAUAAAAUUGAGCAGUUUGUUGUGUGAAAUAUGCAUCACAAAUUCGCAAGUUAGUGGUUUAUGUACUUAUUGGCAGACUGGUUCGUAGUUCGCAUGGUAUUAGGCAAUUUUUGGUCAUGAAAUGUAACUCUUGACCUUCUGCGAUGCUCCUACUACGAAAUAUGUACACUUGACGUGUGUAAUAAAAGUAGAACUAAAUAAACCUUUACAACUAAUGUACCCAAGGGAUGAAAAAAGUGUCGAAUACGUUAAAAGUAAUAUCAUUUUGUUUUUACCCGUUCAAACUUUUUUAACACGGUCAUUGAGCUGAGGUCAAAAUUGUAUGCAGUGUUCAAAACGUUAAAAUUGACAAACGUCUAACUUGUUUCGACAUUUGUGACAGUUUACGAUUUGUUGACUUUUUUGUGACCUUGGAGGUCAAUGGAGGUCACCAUUGAAUUCGGGGUUAAAUUUCUGUUAAAUUAACCAUUAAAUGACAUUUCGUAACUUUUUUGACCUUGAAGGGUGUGACCAUGGAAUAAGAUAAUAAUAGAGUGUAACCUACAGAGUCCAUCUUCGAACUCGUUCUGUCGCUUGACGUUAGGAGUUUACGCUCAAAAUUUCAAGUCUUUCCGUUUAAAAGUUAUCAGACCAAUGGACACACAGACCGACAUAACGAUCUUAUAAAGGGCUUUAACCCCUUAAUAUGCAUACCUCUUUAAGGGGUGGAAAUCCUUUUAUGGGAAUGGCUUUUCAGUCUGUUCAACGUUAGCUGACCUCGUGACCGUGUGGAAGGGGUCGAAAAAUUGAAUUUUGUCAUUUGGGCUAAUUUAGAAUGCAAAUAAAAAAGUAUGGCCGAGUGCGUCCAAAUUAUGGGAUAUCCAGACCAAUUGAAACGUCCCUCUUCAAGUAACGUGCGUUCUCUAGGGGGGUCGGUGCGGCAGUUAUGCUGGUGUUAACUUCGGUACCUGUUGUGGUGGUUCGUGUGUCAUUUCUGGGUAUCCACCUGGAGUAUGCAGUAGUUCCUGCAGCGGUUCAGGCGGGCGUUGCGGAAGUUACGCCGGUGUCAGCUUUGGCAGUUGCUGUGCUGGAUUGCGGUGCCAGAUCAGUGGCUACCCGCCAGGAACGUGUCGACCAAGUCGAUAGUGACGCCCUGCAAGGACCAUCCUCUUGUCGUCUAUCUUUACCCUUUUGUGCAAAUUUAUUUAAUUAGCUUUG